CCCUUCCAGUAAGGCACCCCC
RNAcentral lists this microRNA (21 nucleotides) under Prunus persica (peach). RNAcentral describes it as "ppe-miR8130-3p". Lineage: Eukaryota; Viridiplantae; Streptophyta; Magnoliopsida; Rosales; Rosaceae. The record is from miRBase by way of RNAcentral.